This 998-nucleotide long non-coding RNA is filed under the name Lonchura striata (white-rumped munia). RNAcentral describes it as "domestica (Bengalese finch) lncRNA (ENSLSDG00000008588.1)". The record is from RNAcentral. Lineage: Eukaryota; Metazoa; Chordata; Aves; Passeriformes; Estrildidae.
CACAGGUGCAGAGGGGCACAGGGGACAUCCUUCAGAACCUGACGGGCAGGAACAUCUCUGACUACCUGGUGAAGACCUAUCCCCAGAUCAUCCGUCAGGAGCUGAGGAACAAGAAGUGGGUGAAUGAGCAGAGGUGAGCUGGGCAGGGGCUGGGGCCUGGCACAGCCAGGGAUGGAGGGAGACAGGAGAUCCCUGGUGGGUUUGGGGAGAGCCUGAGUGGUCCCUGGGCAGAGUCAUGAUCCAGGUGCCUUCAGCCCUCUGCUGUGUCCCUUACUCUGGCACCUGGGUGUGUGGGGGGUUGAGUUGGCACAAGGGUGGCAGUGGGGAAUGGGGGUCAGGUUUCACAGAAUUGUAGAAUCUCCCAGGGUGGAAGGGACCCAUGUGGAUCCUCGAGCCCAGUUCCUGGCACGCUGGCAGUGGGAGCCUCUCUGGCAGGUUUGGGAGCCCCAUUUCUCCUGCAGGUACGGUGGCUUCUCCCUGGGUGCUGGCAGCUCCCAGGCCCUGCCGUCAGCAGCAGAGGUGGAUCAGGCCGUGCUGGAGCUCCGGGUGCUGCUCAACAUUACCCUGGGCAGCCCCUCGGAUCGGCUCCUGGCCAACCUCAGCCGCUUCAUCGAGGGUUUGGAUGCCCGCAGGAAUAUCAAGGUGUGCCCAGGGCUGAGGGAUGUGACAGUGGUGUCCCCUCAAGGGGUGGAGCAGCCCAAGAAGGCCUGAGCAUGGCUGGGCCUGGAGGAGAGCAGGAGCUGGGUGGGGAGUGGGGAUGCUCCUGGUGGGAGCGGGUGCUGCAGGCACAGCCAGGGGCAGUGCCAGGUUGGGUGGGGGGCUCUGAGCUACCUGGCCCUCCCCAUGCUGCAGGUCUGGUUCAACAACAAGGGCUGGCACGCCAUGGUCUCCUUCCUCAACGUGGCCAGCAAUGGGCUGCUGCGAGCCCGGCUGCCCCCCGGCACCGACCCCGCGCGCUUCGGCAUCACGGCCACCAACCACCCCCUGAACCUCACCAA